Molecule: ribosomal RNA, 471 nt
Filed under: uncultured bacterium
Lineage: Bacteria
Description: partial 16S ribosomal RNA
Rfam family: Bacterial small subunit ribosomal RNA
Source: RNAcentral
GACGAACGCUGGCGGCGUGCUUAACACAUGCAAGUCGAACGGAAAGGCCCUGCUUGCAGGGUGCUCGAGUGGCGAACGGGUGAGUAACACGUGGGUGAUCUGCCCCUUACUUUGGGAUAAGCCUGGGAAACUGGGUCUAAUACUGGAUAGGACCAUGCUGUAGGUGGUGUGGUGGAAAGAUUUUUUCGGUAUGGGAUGAGCUCGGGGCCUAUCAGCUUGUUGGUGGGGUAAUGGCCUACCAAGGCGACGACGGGUAGCCGGCCGGAAAGGGUGGACGGCGACAUGGGGACUGAGAUACGGCCCAGACUCCUACGGGAGGCAGCAGUGAUGAAUAUUGCACAAUGGGCGCAAGCCUGAUGCAGCGACGCCGGGUGGGGGAUGACGGCCUUCGGGUUGUAAACUCCUUUCAGCCAUGACGAAGCCGCGUUUGGGGUGACGGUAGUGGUAGAAGAAGCACCGGCUAACUACGUG